RNAcentral lists this long non-coding RNA (1851 nucleotides) under Nothobranchius furzeri (turquoise killifish). RNAcentral's name for it is "lncRNA (ENSNFUG00015000335.1)". Lineage: Eukaryota; Metazoa; Chordata; Actinopteri; Cyprinodontiformes; Nothobranchiidae. The record is from RNAcentral.
AUGUCCAAAACAAGACCUCCUCUAGGACAAUCAGAUCACAAUCUUGUUUUUCUCUGCUCAGAAAAUAAACCACUUGUUCAGAGGCAACCUGUGACAAGAAGAACUGUGAGAAAAUGGUCACAGGAUGCUGAAGAAGCACUGCAGGGUUGUUUUGAGACCACAGAUUGGAUGAUUCUCUGCCAAGGAUAUGAAGAGGACAUCAGUGCCAUGACUGGAUGUGUCACUGACUAUAUACACUUCUGUGUGGACAAUAUCAUACCCACCAGAACAGUGAGAUGCUUCGCUAAUAACAAACCCUGGAUCACCAGUGAACUGAAGAAUCUGCUAAAUGAGGAAAAACAAGCCUUCAAGGAGGGAGACAGGGAAUUAUUGAGGAGUAUAAAGAAGCAAGUAAAGAUCAAGCUCAGAGACAGCAAGGAGGCAUACAGGAAGAAGCUGGAGAACAAACUACAGAGGAACAAUAUCAGAGAUGUCUGGUCAGGGAUGAAGAAGAUCACAGGCUUCAAGCACAGGAAGGAUUGCACACAUGACAGCCUGGACACAGCCAAUGAACUGAACAAGUUCUUCAAUAGGUUCAGUUCAGGAACAAACCCAGCAUCCUCCUCGCCUGUCCCCAGCCAAUCAGACAUCCCAUCCUCCUCUGAUCCAACAUUUUCCUGUCACACGCCAGCUCUUUUGUCCUCUAACGCAGUCAUGGACUCUUCUAGUUCUAUAAAUCCAUCUUCAACCAAGUCAGGAGAUGCUGCUGCCCCAUUUACCUCCCCCUCCCACCUAUCUGUCUCUAGAAGUCAGGUGAAGAGGCAGCUGGAGAGACUGAACAGGAACAAGGCUGCAGGUCCAGAUGGUGUCAGCCACAGAGUACUGAAGGCCUGUGCAGAGCAGCUCUGUGGAAUUCUGCAGCACCUCUUCAACCUCAGCCUGGCCCAGGAGAAGGUUCCAGGAAGACUCCAAAAGACACAGGUGGGGACCUCAACUGUCGCCUGGAUUAAAGACUACCUGACAAACAGACCACAGUUUGUGAGGCUGAAGAACUGCACAUCAGACCAGGCGAUCAGUAACAUUGGAGCACCACAGGGGACUGUACUCUCACCAUUCCUUUUCACCCUGUACACCUCAGACUUCCAGUACAAAUCAGAGACCUGUCAUCUACAGAAAUACUCAGAUGACUCUGCAGUUGUCGGGUGUAUCAGAGAUGGACAGGAAGCUGAGUACAGAGAGCUGGUGGAGCGCUUUGUGGCAUGGUGUGGAAACAAUCAUCUGACCUUGAACGUGAACAAAACAAAGGAGAUGAUUUUAGACUUCAGAAGAAACAGGGUGGAGUCAAACACUGUUUCCAUCUUGGGAGAAGAAGUGGAGGUGGUUGAGGAAUACAAAUACCUUGGAGUUCACCUGGACAACAGACUGGACUGGAGAAAGAACAGCCAAGCCGUUUACAAGAAGGGACACAGCAGACUGCACUUCUUGAGGAUGCUUAGGUCCUUCAAUGUCUGUAGCAAGAUGCUGCAGAUCUUCUACAAGUCUGUUGUUGAGAGUGUAAUCUCUUCAGCCAUCGUCUGUUGGGGUAGCAGCAUCAGAAGCAGGGACCUGAAAAGGCUCAACAGCCUAAUAGCAAAGGCUGGUUCUGUUCUGGGGACGACUCGGGAACCGCUGGAGGAGAUAAUGCAAAGAAGGAUUCUCCAGAGAAUGAAGAAAAUUAUGGACAACCCUGAGCAUUCUCUUCACAAGACUGUCCGACAACAGAAGAGUGUCUUCAGUCAGAGGCUUCUUCAGUUUGGCUGCAACACUGACCGCUACUGGAGAUCCUUCCUGCCAACAGCCAUUGUAAUAUACAACAACUCUUUGAUGACUUGA